Molecule: ribosomal RNA, 434 nt
Filed under: Mizuhopecten yessoensis (Yesso scallop)
Lineage: Eukaryota; Metazoa; Mollusca; Bivalvia; Pectinida; Pectinidae
Description: partial 16S ribosomal RNA
Rfam family: Bacterial large subunit ribosomal RNA
Source: RNAcentral
ACUUGAAUUGAAUGUGCAAAUGCUUUCAAUUCAAAGAAAGACAAUAAGACCCCGUGAAGUUAGAAAUUCCACUUACAGAGUUAACCCCCAUUGACGGUGUCGCCGUUAAAUAGCAUAUCGGGCUUUGGAUCUUUUUUUGAAGGUCCCGGCUUUAUGGCUUUUGAACGCCGGAAUGUAUUUUUGACGAGUUUUGGCCUGGCCCGCAAAGAGGCAAAACUAGACCUUUUUAAUCACUAAACGGAUACUUUACGACCCACAAAACAUGAAAAUCCUGAUUAACAGAAGGAGUUACCUGCGGGGAUAACAGCGUAAUCUUCCUUGAUAGUUCUUAUAGAUGGGCGGGUUUGCGACCUCGAUGUUGGCUCUGGGUAUCCUGAGGCAUGCAGGCGGUCUCAAGGGUUGGUUCGUUCGCCCAUUAAAACCCGACGUGAUCU